CUGGAGGUAUCAGAAGUGCGAAUGCUGACAUAAGUAACGAUAAAGCGGGUGAAAAGCCCGCUCGCCGGAAGACCAAGGGUUCCUGUCCAACGUUAAUCGGGGCAGGGUGAGUCGACCCCUAAGGCGAGGCCGAAAGGCGUAGUCGAUGGGAAACAGGUUAAUAUUCCUGUACUUGGUGUUACUGCGAAGGGGGGACGGAGAAGGCUAUGUUGGCCGGGCGACGGUUGUCCCGGUUUAAGCGUGUAGGCUGGUUUUCCAGGCAAAUCCGGAAAAUCAAGGCUGAGGCGUGAUGACGAGGCACUACGGUGCUGAAGCAACAAAUGCCCUGCUUCCAGGAAAAGCCUCUAAGCAUCAGGUAACAUCAAAUCGUACCCCAAACCGACACAGGUGGUCAGGUAGAGAAUACCAAGGCGCUUGAGAGAACUCGGGUGAAGGAACUAGGCAAAAUGGUGCCGUAACUUCGGGAGAAGGCACGCUGAUAUGUAGGUGAAGUCCCUUGCGGAUGGAGCUGAAAUCAGUCGAAGAUACCAGCUGGCUGCAACUGUUUAUUAAAAACACAGCACUGUGCAAACACGAAAGUGGACGUAUACGGUGU
RNAcentral lists this ribosomal RNA (595 nucleotides) under Escherichia coli. Its description in RNAcentral is "partial 23S ribosomal RNA". It matches the Rfam family "Bacterial large subunit ribosomal RNA", at positions 1273 to 1853 of the family's 2925-position model. The record is from RNAcentral. Lineage: Bacteria; Pseudomonadati; Pseudomonadota; Gammaproteobacteria; Enterobacterales; Enterobacteriaceae.